UGCUGACUUCGGCCAUCAAUUUAGUGAUCUCACGGUUGAUGGCUGAUUGAGGGGUUAAUUUGGGGGAGACGACGGUAUAGUGGACAGAGCAGGAAGAAAUCGAAGCAAGGAGAAAGAACCGUCUAUAGAUGGGGGCUGAGGUGCCCGACGAAGUCGAUCGCGGAGAGAAUGCAAAUGGUGGCUGUGAAUCGAGAGUUAUGGAGAACCACUAUGUUGUUGUUGAUUGCGAAAAGGAAACAAUACAUAGAGAAGCAAAAGUCGAUGGGGAAAAGGAAACGGGAGAGAUGCAAUUGUUAUGAAAUGGCCUAGAGAAAGUUUUAAUUUAGGGCUGAAAAAUUAGAACAAAC
Molecule: long non-coding RNA, 347 nt
Filed under: Olea europaea subsp. europaea
Lineage: Eukaryota; Viridiplantae; Streptophyta; Magnoliopsida; Lamiales; Oleaceae
Source: RNAcentral